RNAcentral lists this ribosomal RNA (978 nucleotides) under Thaxterogaster melleomitis. RNAcentral describes it as "partial 28S ribosomal RNA". It matches the Rfam family "Eukaryotic large subunit ribosomal RNA", at positions 1 to 964 of the family's 3401-position model. The record is from RNAcentral. Lineage: Eukaryota; Fungi; Basidiomycota; Agaricomycetes; Agaricales; Cortinariaceae.
GUGACCUCAAAUCAGGUAGGACUACCCGCUGAACUUAAGCAUAUCAAUAAGCGGAGGAAAAGAAACUAACAAGGAUUCCCCUAGUAACUGCGAGUGAAGCGGGAAAAGCUCAAAUUUAAAAUCUGGCGGUCUUUGGCUGUCCGAGUUGUAAUCUAGAGAAGCAUUAUCCGCGCUGGACCGUGUACAAGUCUCCUGGAAUGGAGCGUCAUAGAGGGUGAGAAUCCCGUCUUUGACACGGACUGCCAGGGCUUUGUGAUGUGCUCUCAAAGAGUCGAGUUGUUUGGGAAUGCAGCUCAAAAUGGGUGGUAAAUUCCAUCUAAAGCUAAAUAUUGGCGAGAGACCGAUAGCGAACAAGUACCGUGAGGGAAAGAUGAAAAGAACUUUGGAAAGAGAGUUAAACAGUACGUGAAAUUGCUGAAAGGGAAACGCUUGAAGUCAGUCGCGUUAGCCAGGGAUCAACCUUGCUUUUGCUUGGUGUACUUUCUGGUUGACGGGUCAGCAUCAAUUUUGACUAUUGGAAAAAGAUUAGGGGAAUGUGGCAUCUUCGGAUGUGUUAUAGCCCUUGGUUGCAUACAAUGGUUGGGAUUGAGGAACUCAGCACGCCGCAAGGCCGGGUUUUUAACCACGUACGUGCUUAGGAUGCUGGCAUAAUGGCUUUAAUCGACCCGUCUUGAAACACGGACCAAGGAGUCUAACAUGCCUGCGAGUGUUUGGGUGGAAAACCCGAGCGCGUAAUGAAAGUGAAAGUUGAGAUCCCUGUCGUGGGGAGCAUCGACGCCUGGACCAGACCUUUUGUGACGGUUCCACGGUAGAGCAUGUAUGUUGGGACCCGAAAGAUGGUGAACUAUGCCUGAAUAGGGUGAAGCCAGAGGAAACUCUGGUGGAGGCUCGUAGCGAUUCUGACGUGCAAAUCGAUCGUCAAAUUUGGGUAUAGGGGCGAAAGACUAAUCGAACCAUCUAGUAGCUGGUUCCUGCCGA